UCUGGUGGCAGCGUGGUGCUUGUAUCUGUCAUAGGCUGUGUUCAGUGUGCAAAGUCUGGAUAGAUUUGACUAUCCUGAAUCACUGACUGGAGGAAAGGCUGGAUCUUCAUGAGAAAGCACCCAAAAUACCACAGCAAGUGUGUGUAAUGAUUCCCCUAAAGCACCCUAUGGCCAUUUAUACAAGUUUUGAUGGUAAAUGGACAGGAUGGUAGCCUGUGAGAGCAUGAUGAUCAGGGCACCCUUCAGGGAUGAUGGUCUGGGACACCCUACCAGGUAAGCUACUUAGAUUAUACAGGUGCUGGCCGAGGACGAGGUGAGUUCCUCUCUAGGAAUUCCCUUUGGCCAAAGGAGCUGCCUUUCACUGGCUUCAAGUUGUUCCACCACUGAAAAUAUGUCUCUUUGCUCUCUGAGCAUAAUGCCUAAUGCCAUACCCUUCUAGAGCACUCAUUAAUUUAUUCCACUAUCCCUGGCCUUUGACUUCUUAUCCUUCAACUUCUUAUUCAGUGAGACCCAUUUCUUCCUUUCUUUAUGAUAAUUUUUUCUAGAAAACCGUAUAUAUAUAUGUUAUGAUUGAUUAAUUCACUUGCAGCUAUCUUUAUCCUCAGACACUUUCAUCAGCAAAUAACUAUUACUAAAAUGUUUCCUAUUUCUAAACAGCUGGGCAAAGAUUUUGCAGAUUGGUAUCUUAUAAUUGAUUCUAAUAACUUAAGUUGGGCCAUCAAAACUACUUCUCAAGCAUUUUUACUUGGCAGAUCUCAUUUCUUUCAUCAAUUCUACUAAAGCAUCACAGUUCUCAACCUUUAUUUCCACAGAUACAUCCUGGUUGCUACUCUCAACCACUUCUGCCUCACUUCCUAUAAACCUAGCCUUGCCAUCCCCUCCUUUUUCCAGUUUAUUCAAGACUAACUCAUCCACUUUCUGAGACCUUAUCAUCCACACACAUAUUUAUUAUUUUAUUUUUUAAUUUUUUUUGCUUAUUCUCAGACUAAGAAUACCAUCAAGUUGCUCUUGUAGACAAAGAAAAAACUGAAUUCCUCAUUUAGCCAUGAUCACUAUUCUAACUACUGUCAAUCACUCUUGUCUUCUCAUUUUCUUUC
Molecule: long non-coding RNA, 1097 nt
Organism: Phacochoerus africanus (Common warthog)
Lineage: Eukaryota; Metazoa; Chordata; Mammalia; Artiodactyla; Suidae
Exons: 3
Source: RefSeq, a predicted model, not a curated record